CCUACGGGGGGCUGCAGUGGGGAAUAUUGCACAAUGGGGGAAACCCUGAUGCAGCAACGCCGCGUGAGUGAAGAAGGUUUUCGGAUUGUAAAGCUCUGUUAGCAGGGAAGAGGAAGGACGGUACCUGCCGAGGAAGCCACGGCUAACUACGUGCCAGCAGCCGCGGUAAUACGGAGGUGGCGAGCGUUGUUCGGAAUAACUGGGCGUAAAGGGAGCGUAGACGGGAGCACAAGUCUGGAGUGAAAUCCCGGGGCUUAACCCCGGAACUGCGUUGGAAACUGUGCGGCUGGAGUGCAGGAGGGGUAAGCGGAAUUCCUAGUGUAGCGGUGAAAUGCGUAGAUAUUAGGAGGAACACCGGUGGCGAAGGCGGCUUACUGGACUGUAACUGACGUUGAGGCUCGAAAGCGUGGGGAGCAAACAGGAUUAGAUACCCGAGUAGUC
Molecule: ribosomal RNA, 441 nt
Filed under: uncultured bacterium
Lineage: Bacteria
Description: partial 16S ribosomal RNA
Rfam family: Bacterial small subunit ribosomal RNA
Source: RNAcentral